UUCUAUGAUGAACAAGGGCCUAGGCCCGAUAUAAUCCCAGCUCGUCGAUGCUAUCCCACCAAAAACAACGCUCGGGAUAGCAGUGAGAUGAAGUCCAAUCUGAACAA
Molecule: small nucleolar RNA, 107 nt
Filed under: Cyphellophora europaea CBS 101466
Lineage: Eukaryota; Fungi; Ascomycota; Eurotiomycetes; Chaetothyriales; Cyphellophoraceae
Description: A. fumigatus snoRNA Afu_304
Rfam family: A. fumigatus snoRNA Afu_304
Source: Rfam by way of RNAcentral